UCCAGGGUAGCCUAGUGGACAUGGCAUCUGCCCGGUAAGCGGAACACUGUGGGUUCGGUUCCUAUCCCUGGAC
This 73-nucleotide transfer RNA is filed under the name Cordylochernes scorpioides. RNAcentral's name for it is "tRNA-Thr". It matches the Rfam family "tRNA". Rfam says of the family: Transfer RNA (tRNA) molecules are approximately 80 nucleotides in length. Their secondary structure includes four short double-helical elements and three loops (D, anti-codon, and T loops). Further hydrogen bonds mediate the characteristic L-shaped molecular structure. tRNAs have two regions of fundamental functional importance: the anti-codon, which is responsible for specific mRNA codon recognition, and the 3' end, to which the tRNAs corresponding amino acid is attached (by aminoacyl-tRNA synthetases). tRNAs cope with the degeneracy of the genetic code in two manners: having more than one tRNA (with a specific anti-codon) for a particular amino acid; and 'wobble' base-pairing, i.e. permitting non-standard base-pairing at the 3rd anti-codon position. The record is from RNAcentral. Lineage: Eukaryota; Metazoa; Arthropoda; Arachnida; Pseudoscorpiones; Chernetidae.